AUGGCCCGCACCAAGCAGACGGCGAGGAAGUCCACCGGCGGCAAGGCGCCGAGGAAGCAGCUGGCGACCAAGGCCGCCCGCAAGUCCGCCCCGGCCACCGGCGGCGUGAAGAAGCCCCACCGCUUAGCUCCGACCGUCGCGCUCGGUGAGAUCCGCAAGUACCAGAAGAGCACGGAGCUGCUCAUCCGCAAGCUCCCCUUCCAGCGCCUCGUCCGGGAGAUCGCCCAGGACUUCAAGACCGACCUCCGCUUCCAGUCCUCCGCCGUCUCCGCCCUGCAGGAGGCCGCCGAGGCCUACCUCGUGGGCCUCUUCGAGGACACCAACCUCUGCGCCAUCCACGCCAAGCGCGUCACCAUCAUGCCCAAGGACAUCCAGCUCGCCCGCCGCAUCCGUGGCGAGAGGGCCUAG
RNAcentral lists this ribosomal RNA (408 nucleotides) under Triticum aestivum (bread wheat). RNAcentral's name for it is "partial small subunit ribosomal RNA". The record is from RNAcentral. Lineage: Eukaryota; Viridiplantae; Streptophyta; Magnoliopsida; Poales; Poaceae.